RNAcentral lists this ribosomal RNA (591 nucleotides) under Escherichia coli. Its description in RNAcentral is "partial 23S ribosomal RNA". It matches the Rfam family "Bacterial large subunit ribosomal RNA", at positions 235 to 867 of the family's 2925-position model. The record is from RNAcentral. Lineage: Bacteria; Pseudomonadati; Pseudomonadota; Gammaproteobacteria; Enterobacterales; Enterobacteriaceae.
UUCCCCCAGUAGCGGCGAGCGAACGGGGAGGAGCCCAGAGCCUGAAUCAGUGUGUGUGUUAGUGGAAGCGUCUGGAAAGGCGCGCGAUACAGGGUGACAGCCCCGUACACAAAAAUGCACAUGCUGUGAGCUCGAUGAGUAGGGCGGGACACGUGGUAUCCUGUCUGAAUAUGGGGGGACCAUCCUCCAAGGCUAAAUACUCCUGACUGACCGAUAGUGAACCAGUACCGUGAGGGAAAGGCGAAAAGAACCCCGGCGAGGGGAGUGAAAAAGAACCUGAAACCGUGUACGUACAAGCAGUGGGAGCACGCUUAGGCGUGUGACUGCGUACCUUUUGUAUAAUGGGUCAGCGACUUAUAUUCUGUAGCAAGGUUAACCGAAUAGGGGAGCCGAAGGGAAACCGAGUCUUAACUGGGCGUUAAGUUGCAGGGUAUAGACCCGAAACCCGGUGAUCUAGCCAUGGGCAGGUUGAAGGUUGGGUAACACUAACUGGAGGACCGAACCGACUAAUGUUGAAAAAUUAGCGGAUGACUUGUGGCUGGGGGUGAAAGGCCAAUCAAACCGGGAGAUAGCUGGUUCUCCCCGAAAGCU